This 301-nucleotide ribosomal RNA is filed under the name uncultured bacterium. RNAcentral describes it as "partial 16S ribosomal RNA". It matches the Rfam family "Bacterial small subunit ribosomal RNA", at positions 509 to 807 of the family's 1533-position model. The record is from RNAcentral.
CAGUAGCCGCGGGAAUACGUAGGUGGCAAGCGUUGUCCGGAAUUAUUGGGCGUAAAGGGCUCGCAGGCGGUUUCUUAAGUCUGAUGUGAAAGCCCCCGGCCCAACCGGGGAGGGUCAUUGGAAACUGGGAAACUUGAGUGCAGAAGAGGAGAGUGGAAUUCCACGUGUAGCGGUGAAAUGCGUAGAGAUGUGGAGGAACACCAGUGGCGAAGGCGACUCUCUGGUCUGUAACUGACGCUGAGGAGCGAAAGCGUGGGGAGCGAACAGGAUUAGAUACCCCUGUAGUCCCUGUCUCUUAUAC